Molecule: long non-coding RNA, 1286 nt
Organism: Dendrobium catenatum
Lineage: Eukaryota; Viridiplantae; Streptophyta; Magnoliopsida; Asparagales; Orchidaceae
Exons: 2
Source: RefSeq, a predicted model, not a curated record
CCUGUGGAUAAUAAGAAAACCAGAGAAGUGUAAAUAGAUUCUUGAAAUCAAACCCAACAGAUAGAGAAAACAAAUAAUUUUGAAUGCUUUAAGAGGAUUUAAAGACUAGAAAAAAGAAAUAGACGAGCGAUAGGUAACAGCACUCGCUUUAUAACGCCAUGCAACUUUCUCUCCUUGAACUACUUAACAUAUCAGAAAUUGCAUGUUGUCGCAUACAAAUAUUUUUGUUCAAGUGCAAAAUAGAAAUGAACCCAUAAGGAUACUUUUUGUCUUAUCAUUCACACCAAUGAUGAGUGCUGGUGCUACCCAGCUUCUCCUUUGGUCUUUGUAACCGGCUGAGCCGACCCAAAGGCCGGCUCAAGUUUAUAGGAGGCGGAUCAGUUCCGCCUCCCCUCAUGUUGCCCACCCACAUGUUGGGUCCCAAGGCUUGUAAUAGGUUUGAAUUUCAAAAGGAUGGGGCGGCUAGGUAUUGGGAGGGAGAUUUGAUUAGGAAAGGUUGGGUAUUAAGAGAGGGAGAUGUUUAGGAAAUGUUUUAAUGUUUAGAUUGGCUGGGAAUUAGGGUUUCUUGGCAACUUGGGCUCUAGACUCUCUUGUCUAGAGAUUUGGGAGAGAUGAUCCUCCUCUCGAAUUGAGGAUCUCUCGUAUCUUUGCUUUGUUAUUGUUUUCCUUUGCUUUCUAUAAGAAUUACUAUCGUUUGAUUGUUCUUCCACGAUGAUUUCUUCGUUUUCUCGCUGUUUUUACCAAUUAUUGUUAGGUUUGCUUGCGAACUCAAGUAAAUCCGAUAGGAUUACUAGCGAACUCAAGUAUUUCCUAUCAGUCUUUUCGGCAACUAGGAGAAAUUGAUGCUCUUCAUGUUUGCUUGACGUUCCGAUUUUGUGGAGCAUUUUGAGUCCUCUCUGCUCUUUGAGUCGUUUUAAUUUUUUUCUCCUUUCCUUGUAGUUUUUCCAUACAGAUUUUAUAUUUUGUGCAACUACUUUUUGUUUUGGAUAGUUGAUGGUUUCUUUUCAUUUAUACAUGUAAUUCUGUUUUUUCUUCAUAGUUUAUAAAAUGGGCUUUGGCCCCCCACCCCCCAAAAAAAAAACAGCAAGAAUCUUAAAGGACAAAGGCACCAGAAAAGACCAUUUUAGAAAGUAUAAAAAUAGCUAUUGUUCAGGUCCCUUGUGAAAAUAAUAGAAUUCAAAGCUUUUAAUGAACCUUAGCCACGUUAACGGCUGGAACUUCUGUGAGCUGAUUUCAUGCUUAUUCCAGUCUAUCCAGGCAUGGAGUCUCAAGAAUCAUCAAAAACA